GACGAACGCUGGCGGCGUGCUUAACACAUGCAAGUCGAAGAUAGUGGCGAAGGGGUGAGUAAUACGUGGGUAACCUGCUCUCCUUUUUGGGAUAAGCCUAGGAAACGGGGCCUAAUACCGAAUCAAGGGGGAUGGGCUCGCGGCCUAUCGGCUUGUUGGUGGGGUGAUGGCCUACCAAGGCGGUGACGGGUAGCCGGCCUGAGAGGCUGACCGGGCACAGUGGGACGGCGAUACGGCCCAGGCUCCUACGCGAGGCGGCAGUGGGGGAAAUUGCGCAAUGGGUGAACGCCUGAUGCAGCGACGCCGCGUGGGGGAUGAAGGCUUUCGGGUUGUGAGCCUCUUUCGCAAUCGAACGGGUAGGUAGAGAAGAAGCGCCGGCUAACUACGUGCCAGCAGCCGCGGUAAUAC
RNAcentral lists this ribosomal RNA (408 nucleotides) under uncultured bacterium. Its description in RNAcentral is "partial 16S ribosomal RNA". It matches the Rfam family "Bacterial small subunit ribosomal RNA", at positions 28 to 526 of the family's 1533-position model. The record is from RNAcentral.